CAACCCCUCAAGCCUCAGCUUGGUGUUGGGCCGUGCCACUGCCCUCGCGGCGCCGGCAGGCCUUAAAAUCAGUGGCGGUGCCCGCUGUGGUUCCAAGCGUAGUAAUCUCUCUCGCUCUGGAGACCUGGCGGGCUGCUUGCCAGACAACCCCAUCUUCUCAAAA
RNAcentral lists this unclassified non-coding RNA (163 nucleotides) under uncultured Scytalidium. RNAcentral's name for it is "sequence contains ITS2". The record is from RNAcentral. Lineage: Eukaryota; Fungi; Ascomycota.